RNAcentral lists this unclassified non-coding RNA (323 nucleotides) under Hevea brasiliensis (rubber tree). Lineage: Eukaryota; Viridiplantae; Streptophyta; Magnoliopsida; Malpighiales; Euphorbiaceae. The record is from RNAcentral.
AUAUGCAACACCUUUACCUUUUGUUUGGGAUGUAUAACCACCACCACCACCAUAAUGAGAGCCACACAAUUGUUGAUAUAUGCAUCACCUUGCUGGAGAUGAGUCACAAGCAUUGCUAGGACUAUCGCUUUGUCUUUGACUAGAUAGAUUUGAUGAAAUCAGAGGUUUUAGAGAGUAUUUUCUAAUAUAUUUCUCACUGUCAAAAUACUCUAUAUAUUCUACUAUUUAUACACAAGAAUCAUAAUCAUAUAAGGAAACCUAAAUCAAUGGAAAACUAAUAGAAAUAAUAAACAAGAUAUACAAAAGAGGGAAAAAAAAAAAAA